UACGUAGGGGGCAAGCGUUGUCCGGAAUCAUUGGGCGUAAAGAGCGUGUAGGCGGCUUGGUAAGUCCGCUGUGAAAGUCCAGGGCUCAACCCUGGAAAGCCAGUGGAAACUGCCAAGCUAGAGUCCGGAAGAGGCGAGUGGAACUCCUGGUGUAGCGGUGAAAUGCGCAGAUAUCAGGAGGAACACCAAUGGCGAAGGCAGCUCGCUGGGACGCGACUGACGCUGAGACGCGAAAGCGUGGGGAGCAAACAGG
Molecule: ribosomal RNA, 253 nt
Filed under: uncultured bacterium
Lineage: Bacteria
Description: partial 16S ribosomal RNA
Rfam family: Bacterial small subunit ribosomal RNA
Source: RNAcentral